AGUCUUCCCAGAGAACUCGCGGAACUUUAGGUCGCACAGCUACGUGAGCCGCGGCAGGGACCUAGGUAACUCUUAGGACUCGUCGAGCGAUCGGGCGAGGGACCACCGCGGGAGCGUCGGGUGGACGUCGUCGUCCUCGUCGAAGACCUUGCGCGGCUGGACGUCGCGGAGCCGGAACGUGGGCAGCGGGAGGCGGCCCCUCAAGAACGUGUCGGCGGUGUCGCGGCUGUGCCGCUUGAGGCAUCGGUACAGCCUGUGCACGACGUAGAAGAAGUGCUAGUGGCCGUGCCGGUCGCGGACGCGCAUGCGGAGCAGCGCCGGGAACGUACACUCCUCGUCCGACAGGUCGUCCCGGUCGCGGAAGAGGCAGCGCGGGAACAGCCGCAGGUGGUCGUCGAGCUCCUGCUCGGCGUGGCGCGGCUCCAGCUGCUCCGCCCUGCGCCGCUCGAGCCACACGUACUGCUCCAUCAUGCGCCAAUGGUCGCGGCGGAACCACCGGACCCCGCUCUGCCCAAAGAGGUCCUCGAACUGCUCGCGGCGCAUAUACGGCCACCAGAACCGGUAGCGGAGCUCCGUGACGGCCAGCCUACUCCUCCGCUAGAGCGCCUCUUGCUGCUGCCGCGACUGGGCGCGAUCCUCGAGCGACACCCUCUCCUAUCUGUGCUGCCUAAGGUCGCGGCGGCCCCUCCGUUACACCGCGGACCUGAGGAGCAGUUCUCCGUUCUUGUGCUGGUAGCGGCGGUCCUAGAGGAGAUCCCGGCAGCGACCGUGGUGGGCGACCGGCCGUUCUACCGUCAUGCAGCUGCUCUCGCGCGCCCGCCGCGACCGCCUGUGCUUCGUGGCCGCCAACGCGAGCGAGAGGAAGGGCUCGCGGGACCGGGAGCGCUGGUCGAGGGCCGUGGAGCCGGGCAGCGGCGCGGAGCGCCGGCGCGUAUGGCGGAGGUCUUCGAGCCUGCGCAGCUUUCGCCUCUGGCCCUGCGCCCCGCACCCGUGCGCGAGAUGGGGCUCGGGGGCCAACCGCUGCGUGGUGAGGACCUAGUGGGAGGAGCACCGCACCAAUCCCUGCUCGAGGAGGUCGGCGUCGCCGGCCGGCCAGUGCCCCGUGCACCGCACCGGCGCGAGGUCGGUAGGGAGGUGCGAGAGGGCCAGCAUGCACUAGGGGCAGCCGCGGCAGUGCCCCAGGGCGUAGUACAGCUCGCUAUAGCCCGUGUUCUUCACCCAGCCGUGCCGUCCGAGGCUUAGCCGCCGCCGCUGGUUGUAGCCGACGACGGUGCAGGCGGAGUGCCGCUCGCCAUAGAGCCGGCCGCGCGGAGCGCGGCGCGGCGCCUUGCGCGCUCGCGCCUUCGCCCCGUCGCCGCACUGGUAGCUGCCAUCUUCUUUCGCCGCUAGCUCGACCGCACUAUAGUCCGCGACCCGGCCUCGGCUAGCUGCUGCUCUUACCGCCGACUGCUGGCUACUAACGGAAAACCUACCCCACUCCACU
This 1483-nucleotide ribosomal RNA is filed under the name Triticum aestivum (bread wheat). RNAcentral's name for it is "partial small subunit ribosomal RNA". Lineage: Eukaryota; Viridiplantae; Streptophyta; Magnoliopsida; Poales; Poaceae. The record is from RNAcentral.